This is a non-coding RNA of Pantherophis guttatus, 1238 nucleotides long. The record is from RefSeq and is a predicted model, not a curated record. Lineage: Eukaryota; Metazoa; Chordata; Lepidosauria; Squamata; Colubridae.
CGCACAACCACCCCAGUAGCUUGAUAAGGAGAAUUAGAAAACCUGCGCUCUUUGAAAAAGAGGUUGGGGCUUGAUUCAAUAGAGGGAAGUAUCGGGAGUUCUAAGGGAGAAGUUGCGUUGAAAUGUUUAGCUUGCUCUCCCUCCUCCUUUUCCUCUUUUUCUUAUUCUAAGGAGAAAUGAGAUCCGUCCUAAAGGAAGAUGCUUUCUAGAUAGUUCAAACUGUUGUGUUUCUGUUCUCCGAAAUUACUAUUGUAUGUUCUUUCUUGCCAGAAUUUUAAGCAAAGGUGUCUGGCAUCACUCUUAGGAUCAUUGAAGCUACUGAACUACCAGAUAAAUGUAAUCAACCCCUGAGAGGACUUAACUCCUGAGAUUAAUUCUUACAUCCUCCUAUUGCUGCAAUUGUAAAUUUUUCUUCUCAGAAUGUUGAAAGGCUAGAAGCUUAUCAUGAAGAAUCUUCAUUGAAAAUUGCUUGCAAUAAAGAAGAAACAAACAAGCCAGAAGAGAAAUCUAACAAUCUUGGGACUCUUGUGCAGACCUCUCCUCCAAAUAUGGCCAAGGAUAUAAAAACAGAGACUUUUGAAGACAAAACAGAUAUGGUCCGCGGUUGGUAUGUGGUCCAUGGAAUGGUGCUUUACUGUCCAGCAUCCAGCUGGGUUCCUCUGUUGCAUCACAGAGGCUUAGUUUAUGUCCAGGAUGGAGAAAAUCCGGUCCCUUUUCACCUCUCCCCAUUGAAUAUUUCUGUACCUGAGGGACUGUUGGACAACUAUGUAUGCAUGGACUGCGUGCUUAGGAACCAAGAGAAACCAAAGAAAUGUCCUAUGUGCCAGCAAAUCCAAAGAAAAAGUAAUAGAGUUUAUACACCCCAGUGUAUAUUAAAGAACCUUUCCCUUUUGAUGAAAACCUCCUCUUCUUCAUUCCUUGCAACUGAUUGCUCUAAAGGCAAAAAAAGGUAAAUUGCAUGGAACUACCAAUUUCCGGAGUAUUUGUAUGUUACAUAUUAUAAUAUUAAACAUAGUAAAGCUUAACUUAAUGGACCAUUUGUGGGAAGUAGUGUUCAUAUAAGCAAAAUUGUCAUUAACUGAUUUUUUGUUGUUGCAUGAAUUAUGUCAUUUGCACAAUUAUAUAAUAAGUUAUGUCUAUUUAUUUAUUCAAAUGUAUAAAUUACAUCAUUUACAUUUCUAGGCUUAGGAAACAAAGGAGUUUGCAGAUAAAUCCAAAUUAAAAUGUAGUUUAUUACA